AUUGAACGCUGGCGGAAUGCUUUACACAUGCAAGUCGAACGGCAGCACGGACUUCGGUCUGGUGGCGAGUGGCGAACGGGUGAGUAAUGUAUCGGAACGUGCCCAGUCGUGGGGGAUAACGUAGUGAAAAUUACGCUAAUACCGCAUACGAUCUAUGGAUGAAAGCGGGGGAUCGCAAGACCUCGCGCGAUUGGAGCGGCCGAUACCAGAUUAGGUAGUUGGUGGGGUAAAGGCCCACCAAGCCAACGAUCUGUAGCUGGUCUGAGAGGACGACCAGCCACACUGGAACUGGGACACGGUCCAGACUCCUACGGGAGGCAGCAGUGGGGAAUUUUGGACAAUGGGCGAAAGCCUGAUCCGGCCAUUCCGCGCGCAGGAUGAAGGCCCUCGGGUUGUAAACUGCUUUUGUACAGAACGAAAAGGUUUCUACUAAUACUAGGAGCUCAUGACGGUACUGUAAGAAUAAGCACCGGCUAACUACGUGCCAGCCGCCGCCGUAA
RNAcentral lists this ribosomal RNA (500 nucleotides) under uncultured bacterium. Its description in RNAcentral is "partial 16S ribosomal RNA". It matches the Rfam family "Bacterial small subunit ribosomal RNA", at positions 30 to 523 of the family's 1533-position model. The record is from RNAcentral.